GAUGAACGCUAGCGGCAGGCCUAACACAUGCAAGUCGAGGGGCAGCGGGGAUAAGCUUGCUUAUCCGCCGGCGACCGGCGCACGGGUGCGCAACGCGUAUAGAAUCUGCCCUGUACUGGGGAAUAGCCCAGAGAAAUUUGGAUUAAUGCCCCAUGGUAUGUAUUAGCGGCAUCGCUUAUACAUUAAAGGCUACGGUACAGGAUGACUAUGCGUCCCAUUAGUUAGUUGGUAAGGUAACGGCUUACCAAGGCAGCGAUGGGUAGGGGCCCUGAGAGGGGGAUCCCCCACACUGGUACUGAGACACGGACCAGACUCCUACGGGAGGCAGCAGUGAGGAAUAUUGGACAAUGGGCGGGAGCCUGAUCCAGCCAUGCCGCGUGCAGGAAGACGGUCCUAUGGAUUGUAAACUGCUUUUGUACGGGAAGAACAAGGGGCACGUGUGCCCCUCUGACGGUACCGUAAGAAUAAGGAUCGGCUAACUCCGUGCCAGCAGCCGCGGUAAUACGGAGGAUCCGAGCGUUAUCCGGAAUCAUUGGGUUUAAAGGGUCCGUAGGCGGGCCAUUAAGUCAGGGGUGAAAGUCUGCGGCUCAACCGUAGAAUUGCCCUUGAUACUGGUGGUCUUGAGUUAUGGUGAAGUAACUAGAAUAUGUAGUGUAGCGGUGAAAUGCAUAGAUAUUACAUAGAAUACCGAUUGCGAAGGCAGGUUACUAACCAUAUACUGACGCUGAUGGACG
Molecule: ribosomal RNA, 734 nt
Filed under: Arenibacter sp. MAR_2009_79
Lineage: Bacteria; Pseudomonadati; Bacteroidota; Flavobacteriia; Flavobacteriales; Flavobacteriaceae
Description: bacterial SSU rRNA
Rfam family: Bacterial small subunit ribosomal RNA
Source: RNAcentral